Molecule: long non-coding RNA, 474 nt
Organism: Xenopus laevis (African clawed frog)
Lineage: Eukaryota; Metazoa; Chordata; Amphibia; Anura; Pipidae
Exons: 3
Source: RefSeq, a predicted model, not a curated record
GAACCACCUCCAACGCAGCCUUAGGAUCUGCUUCACAUCAAACUCUUUUUUCCCAGAUACUGACAUGCUUCUACAAAAAUAAGAUUACAUUGAUACAAGGUAGCUAUUGCCGUCUGGAGAGCCUGGACCGGGUAUCUUCCCUUGAGAAACCCCACCUGGUGAGUGGUGCAUCUAAGAUCUCCCUGUCCUGCACUGAAAGUUUGGAUAAGUGGGCAUUUCGCAGGAAAGAGAGGCCUUCCUCUGGAUGGUCCUGAUUCUCCUCGUAAAAGUGUUUAAAAUACGUUUCAAGUUCAGCUACAAUGGCUUCAGUGUCCCGAGCCCAACCUUCCUUCGUUUUUAAUUUCUUUAUGAAGUGUUGCGCUGUGUUGGGUUUGGUUGUUCUGGCAAGGAGUCUCCCUGAUUUAUUCCCCCAUCUGUAAAACUUAUUUUUCAUAUUAGAAAUUUUGUACUGUGCGCUAUCAUGUAAUAAAGUAU